GAACUGGCACAGCAGGUGGAGACAGACACAGACAACAAACAGGGACAAAGGGAAGAGGACAACAGAGUCCCGUUGGAGCCACUGGAUGUCCAGAUUAUCAGCUGCUCUCCAACAUGGCAGUCUUCAGGUACUGAGGAGCUGUUGGACCAGAGGUCAGAGGUGUUCCACAGGACAAGCUUCUCCUCACCAAUAUACGCUCUACACCAACCCUCAUCAGCAGCUUCUCUUUUUAUUUAUUUUUAACAAACGUGACUUCAUCAUCAGAGUAAAUGUUGCAGCAUCACCUGUCUCCAGAAAUAAAUGUCCUUUACUUGACUCUAAGACCACA
Perca flavescens (yellow perch) is the source of this 328-nucleotide long non-coding RNA. RefSeq lists it as uncharacterized. The transcript is spliced from 3 exons. NCBI's taxonomy places the organism in Eukaryota, Metazoa, Chordata, Actinopteri, Perciformes, Percidae. The record is from RefSeq and is a predicted model, not a curated record.